GGAUAAAUGGUUGUCCAAGGCUCCAAGUAGAGGGGUGCGCAAGGUUAUGGAGUCCAGAACGGUCACAGUCUGUGGUGGCGAACGCGAAACUGGAUUUUGCUCCGAGUUUGCUACUCCUACGAUGUUUCUGCAAUGGAUAGAUUGGCGUCGAAGCAGAGUGGCUCCCAAGAUUCCCUUCUCUCCAGGCUGGUCAAACUAGGCUUCUUCUGUCCGGCGGUAAAACUAGAUUUACCCAAGAUUUCUUAGCCAUGGCCUUCUCAGUCUCUCUUGUUUAGUAAGUUAAAGCAUUAUUUUAUUAGUGCGUCUUAUAUUUUAUUUUAUCUAUGAUCUUGUGGCAGGAGACAUGAGACAACAGGAAUCUCUCUAUUCUUUAACUAUGAUGUCAUGUUGAAUUUUUCUCUAAACAGACAGUUAACAGAGGACGCCAAGAGUUUGGCCGGCGUUGUGCUUUCAGUGGGAGUGACGUACCCAUCAACUAUGAAGCGCCUGACUUCGUCAAUUUCAAGAUGAUCGGCCGGUGGCUCAGUCUCUCAGAGAUGCUCGUAAGGAUAGAGCGUGCGUGCGUGCGUUCACAUGGGUGAGCGUGCGUGUGUGUGAGUGCUUGUGUCUGUACUGUGUUUCCUAAAAAAAAAAUCUCAUACAAUUAGUUGCACCAUGCAUUCAAUCUUCAUCUCAUAUAUUCUCUACUUUAGCCCUAAGUAUCUCAUAAAAUUGUUCACCUAGCAAUAAAAAAAUAGUAUAGUGAUUGAUUAUGGUUUGGACAUCUAAAUGUACGAGUAUUUUGAGAAAACUUGAAAUACUUAUAUGUUCAACUAAAAAGAAAUGGGAGGGCAGAAACUCUAGAAACGAAUACAAAAGCAAAUACAAAACAAAUACAAUACGGACUGAGAUACAAAAGGAAUAUUUGUCGAAACACAAAAGUCGGAGGGCAUAUGGCAUCGAAGGUUACAACAAUAUGACAUGAGACAUCAAAGAUUUAUAAGCAAUUAAUAAUUCGAAAUGCACUAUUACAAAUUUAUAACAUUUGGAAUUUUACAUGUAUGUAGAUGUAGUGGUGACUGGUGAUCACCUGCGGGAUGAUCUCCAAUUGUGGUCACCAGCUAAUUAAUUAAGCUCUCAUAAUUUGACCUGAACUAGUCUACCUCUC
Brachypodium distachyon (stiff brome) is the source of this 1147-nucleotide long non-coding RNA. RefSeq lists it as uncharacterized. Lineage: Eukaryota; Viridiplantae; Streptophyta; Magnoliopsida; Poales; Poaceae. The record is from RefSeq and is a predicted model, not a curated record. The transcript has 2 exons.